Molecule: long non-coding RNA, 285 nt
Filed under: Glycine max (soybean)
Lineage: Eukaryota; Viridiplantae; Streptophyta; Magnoliopsida; Fabales; Fabaceae
Description: long non-coding RNA (GMAX_LNC001241)
Source: RNAcentral
CAAUUUAACAAGUGAGCAUACCUAUGAACAAGGUGAGAAUCCACUCCAAUUCCUCCUCCCAAGCAACUUUUAAGAAAAUUGACUUUUAAUUCCAAUAGCAACUCUAAGCUUCUCAUGAUUGACUUGAUGCACGUAGGUUGAAGCACGAUCAAAUGAUACUCUUCGAGCUCCUUCAUGGUUGAUCCCUAGUAAUAACAUAUUGGCACAGAGAUUAAGAUUCAUCUAUCUCAUAUAUGCACGAAGCUAAGAAAAACUUAACUCAUUCUGAAUAAGUAAAAAAACAUU